Dermacentor andersoni is the source of this 1039-nucleotide long non-coding RNA. RefSeq lists it as uncharacterized. The record is from RefSeq and is a predicted model, not a curated record. NCBI's taxonomy places the organism in Eukaryota, Metazoa, Arthropoda, Arachnida, Ixodida, Ixodidae.
AAACCUGCAGCAGGUGCUUUCAGCUGUUGUAUCAUUCAUUAAUUCACUCUUCAGCGGCGACCGAGAUAUCGAGCCAUUUGAAUGCUGUUAUACACACGGUGUAGCGAGUAGGUCACGUGGCCUCUAUUUAGCGAAGUCCGACAACGACGGCACAGGGUGCGCAUAAGCAGCUUCUCUCUAAAAGCACUGCAGACUAUGGGCUGGAGCGAGCUGCUCCUUAUUUUCGUUCAUGCUGCCUGGAUGCUGGUGGCACCGCCUCGCGCAGCAGGGACUCUGUGUCCCCCGAAUUACUGCGACAACGUCACGUGCACGCCGAUCAAGUCCAGCGAGUGUGACGGAAAGGUGGAGGUCAGAGCCAGCGACUGUGGCUGCUGCGAGCAGUGCGUCAAGCAGCUCAAUGAAGGCGACGUGUGCUUUGAUUUAACCGUGUACGGGCUCCGAAAGUGGGGUGAGUGCAAGAGGGGCCUAAAGUGCAACAGAGCGAUUUCCAAGUGCGAGAGAUCCCGCUAUCGGCCCUUCGAGGACGACGACGACGAAGACAAGCUGGAAGCCAUACUUGACUAUUUGUAAAGCUCAUUUCCUGUCCUACAACGGCGCCUCGACCAUGUGUCGCACUAACGCACGUCCGCGCAUGCGCGAAACCAGCACACUUACCGUACACCUGACCAAUACAGACGCGCAGGCCCGUACAGAUGUGUUUACGACAUAUACAGAUGCGUGCAAGAUUCUCCAAGGUUUUGUUCAACCGCAACAGCAGCCGACCAGAUUUAGCGUCUGGCGAGGCUAUCUCACUAUUAACCAGAAUUAGUUGGCGCCGUAGGCGCCAACUAAUUCGUCGACGCUAACUAAAACGACGUAGGCGCCCUUUCUAGCAGCACCAAAGAAAUAAAAGAGCGCGCGCCUACGGUGUUUUAAUAAACGUCGCGAUAUAAGCCAAUAUUAUUUAGCCCUUAUUCAUUUCUACAGCGAGGCCGGAGCGGGGAGAGAAAUGGUUCAAUAAAUUCUGACAGAAGAAAUAAAAACGAAGAAACAAAAUGAA